UAUGAUGAGACACACAUAACACAGACCUGUUCUGAACACUUGUGUAGAAAAACAUGUUUUUAAUCUGAU
Molecule: small nucleolar RNA, 69 nt
Filed under: Fusarium fujikuroi
Lineage: Eukaryota; Fungi; Ascomycota; Sordariomycetes; Hypocreales; Nectriaceae
Description: small nucleolar RNA snR56
Source: RNAcentral